This 253-nucleotide ribosomal RNA is filed under the name uncultured bacterium. Its description in RNAcentral is "partial 16S ribosomal RNA". It matches the Rfam family "Bacterial small subunit ribosomal RNA", at positions 524 to 776 of the family's 1533-position model. The record is from RNAcentral.
UACGGAGGGAGCUAGCGUUAUUCGGAAUUACUGGGCGUAAAGCGCACGUAGGCGGCUUUGUAAGUUAGAGGUGAAAGCCUGGAGCUCAACUCCAGAAUUGCCUUUAAGACUGCAUCGCUUGAAUCCAGGAGAGGUGAGUGGAAUUCCGAGUGUAGAGGUGAAAUUCGUAGAUAUUCGGAAGAACACCAGUGGCGAAAGCGGCUCACUGGACUGGUAUUGACGCUGAGGUGCGAAAGCGUGGGGAGCAAACAGG